AUAUAUAUAUAUUUUUUUUUUUUUAGCACUAUGGCGUGAGGAAACCUGUUUUAGAGAGAGGUUUGAAUGUACAGUCGUGUCCCUUCAACGUUUGCUGUUGUUGCCAUGGUUACCGGUUGAGCUGGGAAAGGUCACCAGUCUCCAGCAGGACAUCGGAAAGACGCACAUGGAGACACUCAGAGGACGUGCAUCCUCAACUGGACAAGGUGUGGAGUUUUGAAAUGAGACCCUCUUCUUCCUCGGUGAGGAGGGGCUUGAGGGGGCAGCACGGCUCCUCCACAGCGUCGACUUGUCCUUGAGCCCCUGAUUGCUCCUGGGGGGGCCCUCACACCGCGGACAGAGAAAGCCCCCACAUGCCUGCUUAGCCUAAAGAGACACGUGUGUGUGUGUCUCACGCAGCGUGGUUACAUAGAUUCCAAUAACUGGCUCAGUCGGACUGAAAUGGAAUGAUCCGUUUCACGUAAACACCUUUGUCCGACUACGUGCGGUCCAACUACGAUCCGACUAACACGCCUGGAUAAUUCCAUCCGAUCCGGUUGAUAGUGCAACUAUUGCGGCAUGUAGAAACAAACAGAAAAGCAACAAACAAAAGGAUCAAACUCCAGCAGAUCAGAGUCUCUGCGUGAUUACAUGAAAGCCUCUAUUUAAGAAUUAUUCCCUCUGCUCCUCCUCCUUUUCCUGGUGUUUGGAAUCACAAACGCCGACUACUUUGACGCUCCCGAGCUCUCCGAAGCGCGUCGGUCCGAGUCGGCGACGUCGCCACUCGGUUCUGAAGGCCUCUGUAUUUGAGGACGUCUCUGAACUGAAAAACGUUCCCCCGUGGAGCGGAGCGCUGCGGUAGAGACAUCAGCAGAGCGCUGCUGCUCCCGGCAUCACGCAGCAUCCUCUCAGCCCGUUACCCACAACAAUGAAUCCACAUCUUGGUUUUCUGGUUCUGGACCAGAACUCACGGGGGAAUCUCCCAGACGUGGUCCGUAACAACGUGCUCACGUUGACAUUAACAUAGUUGGCGGCCGAGUGAAGACAUCAAGCGCAACAGCGUCCCGCCGUCUGACACUGUGCAUCGCAUUCAGCGCUCCCUUCAUUUCCUGCGUCAGCCUCCAGCGUGGCGUCGGGAUCUUAUCUGGACGAGAAAAAAACAAACCAGCGGGCCCACGGUGACGCGCGUCACUGAUGGCGAGGAGACAAAUGGACACAGGGCAGCGAGAUCGUACAAAAAAAACACAGAAUUUAAAUACGCAGACGUGUUGGUCUGUGAUGAGGUGCUGCGUCUCCAUCCUGGUCAUCAUUGUGUUUAUUGGAGGCUAAUAGAGGGAUGGUUAUGCACGGCGCGCUGCUGCUGCUCCAGCCGGCUCAGAGGACCACUCGACCGACGCCGACAGCACGCACGCCGCAACUACCCCAGUGCCCACUCACACACACACAGACAGACACACAACUAACACAUCUCAAACACAUAAUAACUCACAUCACAAAAACUGGGAUUUUCACAUGAACACCACAGUUGUUUUUUGCGUGUAAUCUCAUGAAUAACAAGGUAGACACACACAGACGCGCGUACACAGACACGCACGCUAUCAUCAGAGUGCUGCCUCUUGACAACGAGCAUUACUAAAAGGUUUUACCUCCCACACACUCAACGCGGGAAGGGCAGAGUGUGUGUGAGAGCUCUUGUACCUCUGGAGUCAUUUGUUUGCACACACACACACACACGCACACCAUUCUAUCAAAUGCGUGUGCGUGUUUGCGUGUGUGUGAGAGCGCGCGGGAGGGAGUCUGCUCUCACAUAGAAUCACUUAUCCUAAUAAAUCACGACGUACUGGACAUGACGACGACAUAUGAAUACAAUCGGUGGUGCAAGCUGCUUUGAAUGGAUUUCCUUUGUGUAGAAGAAGUUGUGUCGUGGUUGUGAGUUUCAGCACCACGGACAGCUCCUCUCAACAACAUGUGUGAUCAACAAAGAGAUCCUCAUUCGCUCCGCCUCCAGGUCGCCGGACAUGUUGAAUCCACGUGGAUCUUAGGUCAAGUUAUUUUGACACUAGCAAUGUUGUGCGCUGAGGGUCUGAACAGACACAAUCUCCCUGUAAACUCCAGAGAGGAGCUGCAGUAACGCAUGUGAUUCAACCUUUUCUUGCUGCCAUUUGUCAGUGAACAGUUUUUCGCUCACAGUUUAGAGAUGAAAGCGACCGCGGCCGGCUGUGUGUCCUUCUGAAAAGCAACGGCCUCCUCUGAUGGAAACUUGGUUGUGCGAUUUGUCGCGUCCUGUUGAUGUUACGCCUCUUUGUUCGGUGAGCCGGGAUGCUUUCAUUUAGCUUCAGUGUGGCUACGUAAUUAGCUUUUCAAUGGACCCGGAGUGCUUGUGUGGGCCGUGUGUUUGUACCGGUAUUGAUUAAAGCACUCUUAGUGCAGCUGUGUGUGUGUGUGUGUGUGUGUAAUGGCGCUGUGGCUGUGUUGGUUGGUUCUGAUGAGUGUGUGUGUGUGUGUGUGUUUCUUUGCAUGUGGUUGUGUGUGCGUCUGGCUGAGGUUUUACUGUGUGAUUUUCAAAGUGUGGCCUGUGAGGACUGGAAAAAGUUGCGGCGCUUUUGUAUAAAUACGUUACACGUGUUUGUCUAUGAAAACAACUAUUUCUAAUACUCAACCGUACUGAUUUCACGUGAGGCGAGUGAGCUCUGGGAUGCUCAACAAGAACAGCGCGUUCUGUGCUCAUGAGAUUCUGCUUCAGGCAGACAUCACACUAUCAGGGAGGACGCCAUGUUGACACUAGUCUCGCUCCUCGUCUCCCCCCCCCUCGUCUCCCCCCCUCGUCUCCCUGCUGUGUGGCCAAAAUGUUCCAAUCCACAGCCGACGAGCACAUGCAAUCUGUCCGGGCUUUUACUAUAACUAACAUCCAUCUAAAUACCUCCACGUCACUCCCAUCAUCAUCGUCAUCGACUUAAGUUACAGGCAGGAGGUUUUAAGGGCUGUUUUCCAUCUUUUUCUUCGUUUGAGUCAGUGAACAUACUUAUUUAAGUCUAAAAACAACUCUUUGGUUUUCUUGCCUACACAUGAGCCACACACAGACACACACACACAGUAGAUUGCGUUAAUAUUGCUGGGCUGAAAUGAGCUCAUAGACUUGACUAGUUGUUUUAGUGCUGCUGGUCGAGGACAGUUUUCACUUCCGCGGUGGGAGAUGGAGGAAUAGGAGUUGGAUUAGUGUGAAAAUAUUAAAAGAAAAAGUAUUUUUAUUAAUCAUAUGUGGUGGAUGGAGACAUGGAAACUUUUAUCAGUUGAACUGAAGAACUUAAGCUGUCUAAUAAUUUCAUUGCUAAAUUUGCCCUUAAAGUGGCGCGCACGCCGCCGCAGGUGGAACGUUUCCUUUUUUUCUCCUGCGAUGUGAAAAAGCCUCGGUCGCUGAAGGGGGAGUAAGUGUCUGACAGACCUCGUUUUGUCGCACUCUGCAGCGGCUAUUCGCAGAAACAGACACACGCGGGUACAAAACCUCACAAGAGCCCAAACACACACACACACACACACACACACACGGGGUGCGAUAACCCCCCCCUCCCACACACUCGUCAUCUCCUCUCAUCCACUACUCCCAUUUUGCCGUCAUCUCCUCCCACGCUCUCCUCCUCUUCGCCCUGUUUGUAUUUAUUUAUAUGGUUUUACCCCCCCCGCCACCCCCCUCACAUGUCAGACUGCACACGCUCAGGUGCUCAGUACGACCACCAUCAUCCAGGCGUCUGUUUCCAUGUUAACAGCCACACGGAGCCUGGAGGCUCCUCAUCACACAGGCGCUUAAAGAAGCGUAUUUCUGCGUGACAUCAUGACUGCAGGCGGUUGGAGGUUGUUCGAUGGAGGAUUAGUUCCAUCAAUCAGAUCACAACAAGAAAUUAGAGAUUGAGUGAAGGGAAGAAAAACAAAUGCACAAACUUUCUGACCAACUUUUACGUAAGAAAUGGUUGUUUAUUUAUUUCUUUGUAUUUUUAACCCGGCGCCUCUUAGUUCUGUAGUUUAUUCUAUAACUUUGUGGCCUCAAACCUCAUUUUCCUUUUAACUGAAGUAACUUUCCUGAUUAGCAACAUCUCAAAGACAUCUUCUUCUUGGAGAACGGUCCCCACGCUGUCAUGAGUCUCACAGAGGAGCGAGUUUAGAUUCAGAUGUUUUCGUCCAGGCUUUGAAGAGGAGGAGGACGCUGAGUCGCCGUGUGCGUUGAAUCUCCCGGCUUCGGGUUUGCACAGUGAGAUACGCGUGUUACGUUUUCAACAACCGUGAGUUUGGAGGCAGAAAAACAAUGUCAGCCUGCUGGUAAUUUGAUUGACAGGUGAUCUCUGGCAAGUGGAGUGAAAAAGCACUCGCUGCUUCUCAAUCUGCAGGUUGUUUGGUUUGAAAACCAGCUGUGUGUGUGUGCGUGCGUAGAGACACAAUCCUCCUUUCCAAACGAUCAUAGCGUGGUGAAACGACACGGCUUGAAUGACGAACGCACACAUACACGCACACGUCAGGCGCAGCCGUGUGCAGGGGGGCAGGGAGGAAGCGCUGGAGGCAAAGACACACUCAAAACUGCUGAUCAGACAACUUAACGCACAAAAAACUCACUCACACAGCGAACCCACACAACCGCGUGUGUACCAGGACGGCCAACGCGUGUGUGUGUGUGUGUGUGUGUGUGCGGCACUGUCACAACCUACUUUGCAUUGCCUCAGGUGCGCAUCAAACACACACACACACACACACACACACACACACACACACACACACACAGUCAUUAGCAGGCAAACCACAUGUUAAACAGGAAACACCCCCCCCCUCCCCCGGCUUUACUUCCCCCUCUCUCCUCUCCAACGAGAUGACAAUGAAAACACGUGUGUGUGUGUGUGUGUGUGUGUGUGUGUGUGUGUGUGUGUGUGUGUGUGUUUUGAGUACACAAUGAGGGGAGAGUGCAAAAAUCAUUAAAAGUGCCUCACGAUCCGGUUGAAAAACAUUUUUCUGAAUGUUUUCUGCGUCUCACGAAAUCCGUUACAGUCGACGUCCUUCAUUGCGAAAAAAAAACAACCUUUUUUUUCUUCCAUUGUGAUUCCUGUGUUUUUAAAUCAGGCCUUUUUUUUCUUUUACACUUCACUGAGAUGGCGACACGCUUUGUGACAAUAUUCAUCAUGACCCCAAAUGGGGAAUUGUGUUUUUUACGAUCUGUGAUUAAAUCCUACAUCGUCGCACCAUUGAGAGAAUGAACCCGUCUCUACAGACCGUCACAACUUAACGGCAUCAUUUCAGGACACUUCUAACAUUGUAAAUGGACACAACGCUCAAACAAAACUGCCUCUAUUAUUUAGUAAAAACAUCACGGUUCUGUUUAUUACAAACAGGUCUGUUGGAAAUAUGUAAAUUGUACUGAUCAUCUUUGUGAAACGGACGGUUCGGUUUUCGGCCACCAAAGCUCUUGCGUAGGUUUUGUAAAAAGAUCGUAGUUUGCAUUAAAUUAGGAUUACUGCCCUCGAUGGACAUUCCGACGUGCCGUAACUUUACAAAAGUCCGGUGUUUACUUUCAGUUUGACCGUGCGGACGAGCUUCUCCUGGGAGACGAGGCUGGAGAGAAAAGGAGCUUUCUGACAAGAGCAGGGAGGACAGGUAGAGACAGAACUUGUCUCUCACAAGCAAGGAAAGAGAAAGAAAUGGCAGGGAGACAAAUGUUAAAGGACAGUCUCUGGCACCCUGGCUACGCAGGAUUCUCUUUGAAAAUGACAGAAAAGAAGUCGCAGAGAGGUGCUGAGGAGCCAUUAAUGACUGAGACAGUCAGAAGAGUCCACAAAUCCUGACCGACUGUCUCUCUGCAUUUGUACCCGGUGUCACCCAUCAGGACCACAGAGCAUCCUUUCAGGUUUAUUCGCUUGUCUUGUCUCAGCGUCUCUACCCGACUCCAGCAGACAUGAAGACAAGUGCAACCGAAGUUGGGAAUGAAGGACGGACACGAAAAUGAUGAUUGUGUCUUUCAGAAACUUCCUUUAUUUUAGCAUCGUGUACAUUGGUGUGUGGCUUCUACGAAUGUUUAGUAAAACAUCCGUUCGUCUCUGGAGGUAAAGGGAGGCUGCAAACAUGCACUCAUUCCAAACAAUGUUCCCAACCACCACAAGCAAAUAAUGGCGUUUCGUUUUCAUUCUGGGAUGAGUGGUGAAUGAUGAGGUACCGUCCCAAGUUCGAUUGCAGGCCCCACGAGACAAACACUUACACAAACAGCUGAGUUUUUAAGUCUUUUCUAUAUGUUUUCAAAAUCUGAUAUACAAAUCUAAAAGAGAAAGAGAAAGUAACUGAUGCGAUUGGGUUGUGAAGCGGUAACUCCAUUACCAUUGGGCCUUUAUUCAUGGGUUUAAGGUAAGAGCACAAUGUACAAGUGGUCCAUGUAAUGUUAAUCUGCUGUAAUCCAUGAAAGUCUAGGCUGAUACAACCCGAUGUCUUCUCAUAAUAUCACCAUUACUUUCGCUCGCGGUUCUGAAGUGCGAAGCUUCUGCUGAAAUUUCAGCAUUCUGCCAAAUGUCCGUCGUCAUUUAUUCCCUCAGUAAACAUUGUAAACAUGAGUUUAUGGUCUCGUUCUCUACUUUCAAGUCUUCCUCAAUACAGCAUGAUGCUCAUUGAGUAAAUGAAUCAAAUAGAGCAAAGAGCAGAGUAUGCUUUGAUUGACAGAUUGACUCUACCAUUGAUGACUC
Long non-coding RNA from Gasterosteus aculeatus aculeatus (three-spined stickleback), 6683 nucleotides. Lineage: Eukaryota; Metazoa; Chordata; Actinopteri; Perciformes; Gasterosteidae. The record is from Ensembl.